RNAcentral lists this ribosomal RNA (495 nucleotides) under uncultured bacterium. RNAcentral's name for it is "partial 16S ribosomal RNA". It matches the Rfam family "Bacterial small subunit ribosomal RNA", at positions 28 to 507 of the family's 1533-position model. The record is from RNAcentral.
GACGAACGCUGGCGGCGUGCCUAAUACAUGCAAGUAGAACGCUGAAGGAGGAGCUUGCUUCUCUGGAUGAGUUGCGAACGGGUGAGUAACGCGUAGGUAACCUGCCUGGUAGCGGGGGAUAACUCUUGGAAACGAUAGCUAAUACCGCAUAAGAUUAGAUGUUGCAUGACAUUUGCUUAAAAGGUGCAAUUUCAUCACUACCAGAUGGACCUUCGUUGUAUUAGCUAGUUGGUGGGGUAACGGCUCACCAAGGCGACGAUACAUAGCCGACCUGAGAGGGGGAUCGGCCACACUGGGACUGAGACAAGGGCCAGACUCCUAAGGGAGGCAGCAGUAGGGAAUCUUCGGCAAUGGACGGAAGUCUGACCGAGCAACGCCGCGUGAGUGAAGAAGGGUUUCGGAUCGUAAAGAUCUGUUGUAAGAGAAGAAAGAGUGUGAGAGUGGAAAGUUCACAUUGUGACGGUAUCUUACCAGAAAGGGACGGCUAACUACGUG